This 564-nucleotide ribosomal RNA is filed under the name uncultured bacterium. RNAcentral describes it as "partial 16S ribosomal RNA". It matches the Rfam family "Bacterial small subunit ribosomal RNA", at positions 355 to 928 of the family's 1533-position model. The record is from RNAcentral.
UGGGGAAUUUUCCGCAAUGGGCGCAAGCCUGACGGAGCAAUACCGCGUGCGGGAGGACGCCUUUUGGGGUGUAAACCGCUUUUAUCAGGGAAGAAUCGAUGACGGUACCUGAUGAAUCAGCAUCGGCUAACUCCGUGCCAGCAGCCGCGGUAAUACGGAGGAUGCAAGCGUUAUCCGGAAUUAUUGGGCGUAAAGCGUCGUAGGUGGCUUCGUAAGUCUUUUGCCAAAUCGUGCAGCUUAACUGCAUACGGGCGGAGGAAACUACGAAGCUAGAGUGCGAUAGGGGUCACAGGAAUUCCCAGUGUAGCGGUGAAAUGCGUAGAUAUUGGNAAGAACACCAGCGGCGAAAGCGUGUGAACUGGGUCUGCACUGACACUGAGGGGACGAAAAGCUAGGGGGAGCGAAAAGGGAUUAGAUACCCCCUGUAGUCCUAGCCGUAAACGAUGACAACUAGGUGUGGUUCGUAUCGACCCGAGCCGUGCCGUAGCCAACGCGUUAAGUUGUCCGCCUGGGGAGUACGCACGCAAGUGUGAAACUCAAAUGAAUUGACGGGGGUCAUAGCUG